AGAGUUUGAUCCUGGCUCAGAUUGAACGCUGGCGGCAUGCCUUACACAUGCAAGUCGAACGGCAGCACGGGAGCAAUCCUGGUGGCGAGUGGCGAACGGGUGAGUAAUAUAUCGGAACGUGCCCAGUCGUGGGGGAUAACGCAGCGAAAGCUGUGCUAAUACCGCAUACGAUCUCUGGAUGAAAGCGGGGGACUCGUAAGAGCCUCGCGCGAUUGGAGCGGCCGAUAUCAGAUUAGCUAGUUGGUGGGGUAAAGGCCCACCAAGGCGACGAUCUGUAGCUGGUCUGAGAGGACGACCAGCCACACUGGAACUGAGACACGGUCCAGACCCCUACGGGAGGCAGCAGUGGGGAAUUUUGGACAAUGGGCGCAAGCCUGAUCCAGCAAUGCCGCGUGCAGGAUGAAGGCCUUCGGGUUGUAAACUGCUUUUGUACGGAACGAAAAGGUUUGCCUUAAUACGGUGGGCCCAUGACGGUACCGUAAGAAUAAGCACCGGCUAACUACGUGCCAGCAGCCGCGGUAAUACGUAGGGUGCGAGCGUUAAUCGGAAUUACUGGGCGUAAAGCGUGCGCAGGCGGUUAUAUAAGACAGAUGUGAAAUCCCCGGGCUCAACCUGGGACCUGCAUUUGUGACUGUAUAGCUAGAGUACG
Molecule: ribosomal RNA, 649 nt
Filed under: uncultured bacterium
Lineage: Bacteria
Description: bacterial SSU rRNA
Rfam family: Bacterial small subunit ribosomal RNA
Source: RNAcentral